AGUUUGAUCCUGGCUCAGAUUGAACGCUGGCGGCAUGCCUUACACAUGCAAGUCGAACGGCAGCACGGGGGCAACCCUGGUGGCGAGUGGCGAACGGGUGAGUAAUACAUCGGAACGUGUCCUGUAGUGGGGGAUAGCCCGGCGAAAGCCGGAUUAAUACCGCAUACGCUCUACGGAGGAAAGGGGGGGAUCUUAGGACCUCCCGCUACAGGGGCGGCCGAUGGCAGAUUAGCUAGUUGGUGGGGUAAAGGCCUACCAAGGCGACGAUCUGUAGCUGGUCUGAGAGGACGACCAGCCACACUGGGACUGAGACACGGCCCAGACUCCUACGGGAGGCAGCAGUGGGGAAUUUUGGACAAUGGGCGAAAGCCUGAUCCAGCAAUGCCGCGUGUGUGAAGAAGGCCUUCGGGUUGUAAAGCACUUUUGUCCGGAAAGAAAACCUCCGCCCUAAUAUGGUGGGGGGAUGACGGUACCGGAAGAAUAAGCACCGGC
RNAcentral lists this ribosomal RNA (492 nucleotides) under Burkholderia sp. PMB1(6). RNAcentral describes it as "bacterial SSU rRNA". It matches the Rfam family "Bacterial small subunit ribosomal RNA", at positions 10 to 497 of the family's 1533-position model. Lineage: Bacteria; Pseudomonadati; Pseudomonadota; Betaproteobacteria; Burkholderiales; Burkholderiaceae. The record is from RNAcentral.